UUUCCCUAAUACUCCUGGUUUUACACCACCAAAUUUACCUCGCUUACAAUUUCCUAAUAUGUCCAACAUCAGUUCUUUUACCUUCCCAUAUUCAUUGCUUUCCCAAAUACCUGAAUCACAAAGGUACAAUUAUUUUAACCUAACUUUCCCUAAUAUUCCUGGCUUUAAAUCACAAAAUUUACCUGGCUUUGAAUUUCCUGAUAUGUCCAACAUCAGUUCUUUUCCUUUACCACAUUAAUGACUCUCCCAAAUACCUAAAUCACAAUGGUAAAAAUACUUUAGCUUAUCUUUACCUAAUAUCAAUUCUUGAAUUUAUACCAGCAAAUUCAUCUGCCUUAAGAAUUACCUGAUAUGUGCGCCUCUCAUUAGUUCUUUUACUUUCCCAUAUUAAUGGCUUUACCAAAUACCCGAAUCACUAAGGUAUAAAUAUCAAAACUUUCCCUAAUAUUUCGGGAUUUAGAGCACCAAAUUUACAAGAAUUGGAUAUCCCUUACAGGUAUAACAACAGUCCUUUUUCUUUCCCAUAUUCAUUUAUAUCUCAAAUACCACAAAGAGAAACUUACACAAAUGUUCACAUUACCUUUCCUAACAUUCCUGAUUUUAGACAAACUUUUCAGGCCUAGAAAU
Macrobrachium nipponense is the source of this 627-nucleotide long non-coding RNA. RefSeq lists it as uncharacterized. The record is from RefSeq and is a predicted model, not a curated record. Lineage: Eukaryota; Metazoa; Arthropoda; Malacostraca; Decapoda; Palaemonidae. The transcript has 2 exons.